This 87-nucleotide transfer RNA is filed under the name Armatimonadota bacterium. RNAcentral's name for it is "Armatimonadetes bacterium (oil production facility metagenome) tRNA-Tyr". It matches the Rfam family "tRNA". Rfam says of the family: Transfer RNA (tRNA) molecules are approximately 80 nucleotides in length. Lineage: Bacteria; Bacillati; Armatimonadota. The record is from RNAcentral.
GGAGGGGUGCCCGAGUGGACAAAGGGAGCGGACUGUAAAUCCGCCGGCGUAACGCCUACGCAGGUUCGAAUCCUGCCCCCUCCACCA